This 423-nucleotide ribosomal RNA is filed under the name uncultured bacterium. RNAcentral's name for it is "partial 16S ribosomal RNA". It matches the Rfam family "Bacterial small subunit ribosomal RNA", at positions 360 to 774 of the family's 1533-position model. The record is from RNAcentral.
AAUCUUCCGCAGUGGACGAAAGUCUGACGGAGCAACGCCGCGUGAGUGAGGAAGGUCUUCGGAUCGUAAAACUCUGUUGUUAGAGAAGAACACGUACCGUUUGAAUAAGGCGGUACCUUGACGGUAUCUAACGAGAAAGCCUCGGCUAACUACGUUCCAGCAGCCGCGGUAAUACGUAGGGGGCAAGCGUUGUCCGGAAUUAUUGGGCGUAAAGGGCGUGCAGGCGGUCUCUUAAGUCUGAUGUGAAAUCUCGUGGCUCAACCACGAGCGGUCAUUGGAAACUGGGAGACUUGAGUGUAGGAGAGGAAAGUGGAAUUCCACGUGUAGCGGUGAAAUGCGUAGAGAUGUGGAGGAACACCAGUGGCGAAGGCGACUUUCUGGCCUAUAACUGACGCUGAGGCGCGAAAGCGUGGGGAGCAAACA